AGUGAACGCUGGCGGUAGGCCUAACACAUGCAAGUCGAACGGCAGCACAGUAAAAGCUUGCUCUUACGGGUGGCGAGUGGCGGACGGGUGAGGAAUACAUCGGAAUCUACUUUUUCGUGGGGGAUAACGUAGGGAAACUUACGCUAAUACCGCAUACGACCUACGGGUGAAAGCAGGGGAUCUUCGGACCUUGCGCGAUUGAAUGAGCCGAUGUCGGAUUAGCUAGUUGGCGGGGUAAAGGCCCACCAAGGCGACGAUCCGUAGCUGGUCUGAGAGGAUGAUCAGCCACACUGGAACUGAGACACGGUCCAGACGCCUACGGGAGGCAGCAGUGGGGAAUAUCGGACGAUGGGCGCAAGCCUGAUCUAGCCAUACCGCGUAGGUGAAGAAGGCCUUCGGGUUGUAAAGCCCUUUUGUUGGGAAAGAAAAGCAGCAGGUUAAUACCCCGCUGUUCUGACGGUACCCAAAGAAUAAGCACCGGCUAACUUCGUG
RNAcentral lists this ribosomal RNA (492 nucleotides) under uncultured bacterium. Its description in RNAcentral is "partial 16S ribosomal RNA". It matches the Rfam family "Bacterial small subunit ribosomal RNA", at positions 29 to 507 of the family's 1533-position model. The record is from RNAcentral.